This 4940-nucleotide long non-coding RNA is filed under the name Homo sapiens (human). RNAcentral describes it as "HSALNT0269718". The record is from RNAcentral. Lineage: Eukaryota; Metazoa; Chordata; Mammalia; Primates; Hominidae.
AACGCAUCUAGGCAAAGUGUGGACCCGACCAGGCGGGUUUUCCUCCUUCUCGCAACUCCUCCUCCUGCCCCCCUCCCUCCCAAAUCUCAUCUGAGUGAGUCAGCUGAGGGUGGCAGCUCAGAAGCGAGGCAGCCGUGAGGCGGAGGACAGGCUGGGGGAUCCCAAAGGGUGCGCUCCAGCCCCCAACCCAGGCACUGGGACUCUGGUGGCACCCUGGGUGGCAGGCAAGCCUUGAAAUCAAGUGCACGAGCCUUGGAAAGGAGGACCGGGAGAGUUAUGGCAUUUAUGAAUGAAGAAGAGAAAGAGAAUCACUCGGAUGGGAAAAGUUAACUGGAUUGUUCCCACCUGCAUGGAUCACCGGGAUGAAGCUGUGCCACCCUGUAGGAAUUAGAAGACCAUGUCCAGGAAUUGAGCACUGGGUGCAGGAUCCAGUCUUCUGAGGCCCUGAAACCACAUGGUGAGAAGUUGAAGGUCACACAGCUGGGUCACCAUAGUGCGCUUCAUGGGGUGGGAAGUGGUGGCCUCUAAGUGUCUAUCAACUGUGAAGACUGCAAAGAGGGAUCCAUGGCUGUUGGAGCAAUGAGAUACGCGAUGACGUAGACAGAUCCGGAAAGCGCAUCGUCUCCUGAGCAGAAGGGCACUCAUGGGUCCUAAUAUGCUAUUUAGAAAAUACAAAGUGGAAAGAAGAAAAAUGAAAGUCACGCAUCGUCCUUCAACCCGGGGACAACUCCUGCUAACACUCGGAUGGAUGAAUUUCACAUAUACAUAUAAAUAUUCUCAUCUACAGUCAAAUUUAAUAAUGUGAAUGCCUUAAUAAACCACUAAUUCUUCAAUUUCACUUGUCAGAAGCAACUUAGCCGUCUCGCCUUGCGGCCUGGAACCCCUGGCAAUUUCCGGAGCACCGGCAAGAGACUUUUGCACAGUUUCUGCUUGGAGUCUACCGACUGUCUGUCUCAGAGGUCUGGACAGCUGCUUGUUACAUUUGGCUCACGCUAGCUUAAAAAAGGAAUUUAUGGACCUUACUGCAGAACGUCCCAAUUCUUCAGGCCAAGGUAAAUGCAAGUUGGGGUGGUAGUGAAGUUGCAAACUGCCCCUAAGAAAAAAGGUUAACAAGAUAUUGUUCCUUCCACCCCCGGCCUCCCGUUGGUUCCCCCACCCCAAGAGCCUUCCCACCAGGCUUCAGGGUGACAAACGCUUGGAUUUGAUGGGGCUGAGACUUGCUUGUGCCUUUGUUGAUGGCAGGGCACUUUUAUUGAAACUUGUUGAAAGGAGCUAGCUUCGAAGGCUCCUCCAAGAUUCUACACCACAGGGGGAAGCAGGACUUUGAUUUAAGAUACUCACAUCUGUCAACCACAGGCAUUCAUUCAGUUUUCUCUUUCAUUUGGGGAAGGAAGGGAGAAAAUGAAUCAGAGGCUGAUUUUUUUUUUUCUGGCCUGUUUUCCCCAAGCUCCAGGAAAUUAAGAAACAUGCCAUUAGUUUUAGCAAACAAUUUGAACAAAGUAAAACCAGAUCUCCCACCAAAGGCCGAGGACCAUGAGGGGUCUGAGUGCCCCUGGCCCUGUUUGUGGACUCUGCGGGUCGUGGAGGAGCCAUGAAGUGGGAAGAGAGCUUGGGUGAUACAGGAUGGUGUGCGUGACAGUCCUCCCUGUGUCUUCUUUGCUACCAUAUUUAUCAUAGCUUAGAUGUGUGUGGCCUGGUGGCACCAAAGGUGAACAGAAAGCAUUUUUGGGGCGCCAUGGCCCAGACCUCAGCCUGAACGUUGUGGGAAGCCAGUGGGUGUCUGCAUGUGUUGGCGAGAACCAGUGGGCAUCUCCUUGGAAGCCAGUCCCCAAGGUGGCUCUAGAUGGCUUACUCCUGCAUCUUGCCAAAUCCACAGGGUCCAGCUGUGUCUCCAGGGCUGCGUGGCUUAUUGAAAAAGAGAGUGUAUGGUGGAUUUCAAUAUCUAUAUUCUACAAAAAAUGUAAAAGGGGCAGGGGACGGGAACAAAGAAACCAGUGCUGGUGAUCCUGCCCCCACAGUAAGGUCUGCUUUAGUGUGGACAUGGGACAGGGGCCAGCCCCUGCUGCUCCCUGGGGGAACACAGGUCCGUGGGGGUGGCUCACCGUCAUGUAUGUGAUUUUGAUGUUUGUACAUUUGUUGUACCACAUGAACCAGUCUUGGACGGCUGUUCUGAGUAAAUGGGAUGAUGUGGGUAAAGCCCCCAAGACCAGAGCCUGGCACAGGGCCGUGCUGGAUAAUGCUGACUCAUGGUGAUGAGGGGAAGGAGGAGGCAGGAUGCCAUGGGUGAGGAGUCCAGGCUCCAGUGCUGCUGAACCACCAUCCACCAGUAUGAUCUCAGCAAGCCUCUCUCCACCUGGACCCAGAUGAUUCACCCGUUAAACAUCCCAGGCACAUUGAAGGGAGAUGAACAGCGUCCAGCAUGGUCCUCAGCUGUGAGAAGCCAUACACUCGCCUUUUCCACCCUACAACUUUCCGUCAUCUGGGGUGCAGGUUUCUUUCCUCUCUUUUUACUUAUUACAAGGUAAAAUACAGUCUUAUUACAGAAAACUAGAAACCAGAAAAGCCCAUCACACAGUCAUUCAUUCAACAAAUGCGUAUUGGGAAGGGUGGGGAUGAGCCCCUGGUGGAAAUGGGGUGAAGCUGUGGACUUUCUCUGGGUGCGAUGAAGGCUGACGGAGGGCUUUGAGCAUCCUCAAGAUUCAGAAGUCUGUUCUCAGUCAUCAGCAGCUGUACCAGGAGAGGAAGAACCUCUGAAGUGUUCUGGCUCCAAAAGCUAGUGAAAGUGCAGAUUUCCUGAGAAGGAGUGAAGCUUAGGGCCCUGCCAGGCAGUGAUGCUUUCUCAACUUUGGGGGCAGUAAAAUGUACAGACUCUGGGGAAGGAGACCAGGAAGGAGGCUGCAAAGUGUGCAUGCUCUGGGAAGGGGGCAGGGAAGGCUGGCAAAAAGCUGUUGGGGACCCAGCCAGGCUGCUUCCCUUGGAGGCCCAGCCUGAGAUGUGUUUCCCACCAUAUAUGGCAGAAAUGAUUUCAGGUGCUAUGUAGAUAAGCCACGAACUAUCAUUGAAUCUUUUCUUGGUUGUAUUGUGAAAGAAAAAGUCUCUGUUGGGUGCUGGUGUAUCUUCGACACCACUUAACACUUGUCAAGCUCUCCUUUACUGAGGUAAAGCAGUCCUCAGGCUCAGAGCUUGUGACCAGGGAGCGGUAUCUAGCCAAAAUUUUAUUUCAAUGCUUUGUUUUCAUUGUCUUUAAAACAAAAGAUGGUUAUCUUCCAUUUGCCAUGAUGCCUGUGUUCCUGCUCGGUUUCUGGAUUGCUUGGUACUUAAAUGAAACAUCUUAUUAAUCAUUUCCCGGGAAUGCUGUGCAGGCAAAAGGAAAACAAAGGCAUUCAGGAGCCACAGAAAAGUGUACUGGCUCCUGUCCUGGAUCAACUCAGAAAAUGAAACACAUCGGAUUCUGUCCAGGCCGGGCACAGCAACCUGGCCCAUCCAUGUGGAGCCUGCAGUGACCACUUCCGCUGUCUGCACAAAACUGGAGGGAGGCUGGGGGUGCUCCAAGUAUAAGUUUCCUCAUCAGCAAACCGGAAAGAGAAAGACCGACCUGGAGGCUGGUUAUGGGGAUAAAAUAAAUAUGUCCUUAUAUAUGUGUAUAAAGCCCCAGCACAAACAGCAGUCGCCGCAUGGGUCAGGGAGGCACUGCUUGGAGCCUUAUGUGACCGUGUUCUCACAUUAUCUUCCAACUGGUUUGGGAGACAGGUACUGCUAUGAUCUCUGUAUUACACAGAAGCAAACUGAAGUGUCUUGAACAAGUCAGCAAAGAAAAACAGUUCCGCCUUUGGAAUGUAUGAAAAUGAAGACCGUUGCAGGAGGUCUUGAGCCACAGAGCUGGCUCCAGAGGCAUUGGGAGGAGAAACGCGGCAGGCCUGGCUCACUCAUUAUAUUUCAAGAUCUAUCCCAGCUUGUCACAACAUGGACUGUGUAACUGAGACGAUUCGCGGUUGGUGUUCCCAUGCUGAGGCAUGUGCUGCCCCGGCCCUUGGUUGCUGCGCAAUUUGCUCUCUAUGGACUGUACCUGGGGUGCCUACCCUGGACUUCAGACAAGCUUCUUCAAGAGUAGCCCCUGCCAGAGCUGGAGCCAACAGCAAGAGCAGCCCAGGGCCACUCUGCCCAGGCUCAGAGGCAUCACUGGGAAAGAGGCAGGGGCAGAAGGAACUGGGGCGGGAAGCCCUGAAGGGUGUCGAGUCCCAGGACAAGGGACUGGGGUGUGUCCCAGCAGACCCCCAGGGAAGCAGCAGCUUUGGACUCGCCUGACCCAACCCCUUGCUGCCAGACAGGCUUAAAUUGCCCCAACUUUCCCCAUGAAGCUCGGACAGGAGGACGGAGGAGCAACUGCCUUCUGGGGUCAGAGUCUGUCCCCGCUCCUGCAGGCCGGAAGCACGUGCGGUCAGCGGUGGGCCAGAGCCUCUCAGCCUCUCAGCAAGGGCCUUCCUGUAGCUCUCGGCUCCUCCAACAGCCCCAUCCCUUAGCACAGGCGGGGCUGGCGGAGCACUGCAGGGGCCAGGUGCAGCCACCGUGCAGCAAGGCACAGCUGCCUGAUCAAACCAGAUCAAAAGCCAUUCGAUCAUCCAAGGACUAUUUUCAUUCGAUAUUUAUUGAUUUCUACCACUCGCUGGGGCUGUACAGGGCCCUGAGCUUGCCGUGAGGAGCACAUUUCAGCCCCCACCCCCUCGGGGCUCACAGUCUGGUAGAGGAAGCACAUGAAAUAAAAGAAUUUGCACAUGUAAAUAUCUCAUUACAAAUGCGCAAGAGCCAUGAAGGAAAAAAAAAGAACACGAUGGGAGGUAAUCACAAAGUCCACUUAUUUUAGACAAAGUGGUUGGCGACAGCCACAUUUUUGCCAAGACCUAAAGGAUGGGCAACAGUAAAAAUAAAAAUCAUCAUCAUCG